AGUGAACGCUGGCGGUAGGCCUAACACAUGCAAGUCGAACGGCAGCACAGUAAGAGCUUGCUCUUACGGGUGGCGAGUGGCGGACGGGUGAGGAAUACAUCGGAAUCUACUUUUUCGUGGGGGAUAACGUAGGGAAACUUACGCUAAUACCGCAUACGACCUACGGGUGAAAGCAGGGGAUCUUCGGACCUUGCGCGAUUGAAUGAGCCGAUGUCGGAUUAGCUAGUUGGCGGGGUAAAGGCCCACCAAGGCGACGAUCCGUAGCUGGUCUGAGAGGAUGAUCAGCCACACUGGAACUGAGACACGGUCCAGACUCCUACGGGAGGCAGCAGGGGGGAAUAUUGGACAAUGGGCGCAAGCCUGUUCCAGCCAUACCGCGUGGGUGAAGAAGGCCUUCGGGUUGUAAAGCCCUUUUGUUGGGAAAGAAAAGCAGCAGGUUAAGACCCCGCUGUUCUGACGGUACCCAAAGAAUAAGCACCGGCUAACUUCGU
RNAcentral lists this ribosomal RNA (491 nucleotides) under uncultured bacterium. Its description in RNAcentral is "partial 16S ribosomal RNA". It matches the Rfam family "Bacterial small subunit ribosomal RNA", at positions 29 to 506 of the family's 1533-position model. The record is from RNAcentral.